This 803-nucleotide long non-coding RNA is filed under the name Anas platyrhynchos platyrhynchos (common mallard). Its description in RNAcentral is "lncRNA (ENSAPLG00000028779.1)". Lineage: Eukaryota; Metazoa; Chordata; Aves; Anseriformes; Anatidae. The record is from RNAcentral.
GCAGUUCAUUUACUCUGUGUGAAAUUUAGUGGAUUUAAAUCAUCACCUUUUUGGUGAGACAUGCCAGUUUGAAGCUCGGAGAUCUUGUGGCUUUGUUUUUAAAUAAUGUCUGGGGUUGGGCUUCAGCCUUUGGCUUUCAGACCUGUCAGUGUGUUGCAUGGACUUGCCAAGUAAAUCAGUACAAUUUAUGCUAUCAUAAACCAUUACAUGUGGGAUUUUUGUGAGAACGGAGUAGGAGAAUUGCACGCAUAUAUGUGUAUGUAUAAGCAAAAAUUGGACAAAGUGAGUUGAAUUGUUUGAAUUAGUACUGGCCUACUUAAAUGGCUUUCAUGUAUGCCUCUGUAGCUUCUUUUAGUGUAAUUGUCAGAAGGGGUUUUUGACUCCAGUUCUCGUGCUAAUGUUUGAGUGCAUCCUGUGCAGUAACCUUCAAGUGUAAUUAAAGUUCAUGUAACAAUUCAUUUUGUAGUGAAACUAAUCCCCACCAAACUGUCUUUAAACCUAAUAUGAGGUUGCUUUUGCUUUUAAAACUGAAGGUUGGCUUUAUCUGUAUGAAAUCUGGUCGAGGUACUCAGUCCUGUUUUUCUGUUUUUCUUGCAGUGUUCAUCAGAAUUGCCACAUAUUAGGAUUGCUCUCGGCCAGCAUGACAACCUGGGACCUCCGCCUGAGAAGUGUAUUGAGAGCGUUUCAGUUCAAACCCAUGCUGCCCAAAGAAGCAAGCACUGAGCUGCCAUUUAAAAGUGAGUUCAAGUCUUUUAUUGUUUUAGAUCCAAUGAUAAUAAAGACAAAUGCAUUGGAUUAAUAAU